GACGAACGCUGGCGGCGUGCUUAACACAUGCAAGUCGAACGGUAAGGCCCUUCGGGGUACACGAGUGGCGAACGGGUGGGUAACGCGUGAGUAACCUGCCCUUCACUCUGGGAUAACAGUUGGAAACGGCUGCUAAUACCGGAUAUUCAGCUCCUGUCGCAUGGUGGGGGUUGGAAAGUUUUGGUGGUGGAGGAUGGGCUCGCGUCCUAUCAGCUUGUUGGUGGGGUGAUGGCCUACCAAGGCGUCGACGGGUAGCCGGCCUGAGAGGGCGACCGGCCACAUUGGGACUGAGAUACGGCCCAAACUCCUACGGGAGGCAGCAGUGGGGAAUAUUGCACAAUGGGCGGAAGCCUGAUGCAGCAACGCCGCGUGCGGGAUGACGGCCUUCGGGUUGUAAACCGCUUUCAGCAGGGACGAAGCGCAAGUGACGGUACCUGCAGAAGAAGCACCGGCUAACUACGUG
Molecule: ribosomal RNA, 463 nt
Filed under: uncultured bacterium
Lineage: Bacteria
Description: partial 16S ribosomal RNA
Rfam family: Bacterial small subunit ribosomal RNA
Source: RNAcentral